UGAGGAAUAUUGGUCAAUGGACGGAAGUCUGAACCAGCCAUGCCGCGUGCAGGAAGACGGUCCUAUGGAUUGUAAACUGCUUUUAUACGGGAAGAAACCUCUCUACGCGUAGAGACUUGACGGUACCGUAAGAAUAAGGAUCGGCUAACUCCGUGCCAGCAGCCGCGGUAAUACGGAGGAUUCGAGCGUUAUCCGGAAUCAUUGGGUUUAAAGGGUCCGUAGGCGGGUUAGUAAGUCAGGGGUGAAAGUUUUCGGCUUAACCGAAAAAUUGCCUUUGAUACUGCUAGUCUUGAAUAUUUGUGAAGUAACUAGAAUAUGUGGUGUAGCGGUGAAAUGCAUAGAUAUCACAUGGAAUACCGAUUGCGAAGGCAGGUUACUAACAGAUUAUUGACGCUGAUGGACGAAAGCGUGGGUAGCGAACAGGAUUAGAUACC
RNAcentral lists this ribosomal RNA (434 nucleotides) under uncultured bacterium. Its description in RNAcentral is "bacterial SSU rRNA". It matches the Rfam family "Bacterial small subunit ribosomal RNA", at positions 355 to 786 of the family's 1533-position model. The record is from RNAcentral.